Molecule: ribosomal RNA, 469 nt
Filed under: uncultured bacterium
Lineage: Bacteria
Description: bacterial SSU rRNA
Rfam family: Bacterial small subunit ribosomal RNA
Source: RNAcentral
UGCCAGACUCCUACGGGAGGCAGCAGUGGGGAAUCUUCCGCAAUGGGCGAAAGCCUGACGGAGCAACGCCGCGUGAUCGAAUGAAGGCCUUCGGGUUGUAAAGAUCUGUUGACAGGGACGAAUAAGCAAUGCGAAUAGUUUUGUGUAUGACGGUACCUGUUUAGAAAGCUCCGGCUAACUACGUGCCAGCAGCCGCGGUAAUACGGAGGAUGCGAGCGUUAUCCGGAUUUAUUGGGUUUAAAGGGUGCGUAGGCGGUUUUUUAAGUUAGUGGUUAAACGUCGGGGCUUCACCUUGAUUUGCCAUUAAUACUGUAAGACUCGAGUUCAGACGAGGUAGGCGGAAUAAGUUAAGUAGCGGUGAAAUGCUUAGAUAUAACUUAGAACUCCGAUAGCGAAGGCAGCUUACCAGACUGCGACUGACGCUGAAGCACGAGAGCGUGGGUAGCGAACAGGAUUAGAUACCCGCGUA